Non-coding RNA from Triticum aestivum (bread wheat), 115 nucleotides. The record is from Rfam. Lineage: Eukaryota; Viridiplantae; Streptophyta; Magnoliopsida; Poales; Poaceae.
UGUAUACUCCCUCCGUUCGGAAUUACUUGUCUCAAAAAUGGAUGUAUCUAGAACUAAAAUACGUCUAAAUACAUCAAUUUCUGCGACAAGUAAUUCCGAACGGAGGGAGUAGUAU